Long non-coding RNA from Rana temporaria (common frog), 2021 nucleotides. RefSeq lists it as uncharacterized. The record is from RefSeq and is a predicted model, not a curated record. Lineage: Eukaryota; Metazoa; Chordata; Amphibia; Anura; Ranidae. The transcript is spliced from 2 exons.
AAGAAAGGAGCAGUGUGGGCAAUGCAAUGAAGGUGAUUAAAACAGAUAAGGCUUUAAAGAGACCCUGUCUUUUUGAUCUGAAUGGGUUUCUUUAAUGAGAUCUCUGUAUUUGUACUGGAUUUGCUGUGUUUUGGUGCUGGUACAGGAAAUGUUGACUUUAUUCCUACAAAACACAAUCACGCGGACCUGGGCUCCGAAUCAAAAAACUAAAUAUAACCGCUUAGUGUGAUACGGCAAAGCUGUUUACCGGUGCCUGGUCUACUAAGGACCUGUGCAGGGUCUACAAGCUUUGCCACUUGUAUACAGUCAUAUGGGCAGCUCUGCUAUGCCUAAGCUGGAGACAGCAGUGGAGGGCUCAGUGCCAUUAUAUCCCAUGGGCAAGUCCACUGAAGGCCACACCUAUCCUGUCUCCAACUUGGUUAUUGUACCCGACUUGUAUGGUUGCAUAAAAAUGCCAAAGCUGAUAAACCCUGCACCAACCUGGGAACCUUUGUAAAUCAGUGGGCCUGAGAAAGGGUGUGGGACAGGGAAUGAAGUCAGGAGAUGCUUUAAAACGUGGAGGGUUUAAUAGCAAUGCACAUAUUGUCCCACGCUAAAUAAAAUAUGGGGCCAACAGUGGCAAAGGAAAAAAAUGUUCCAGGAAGGAGGAAAGAAAUGCCCCUGUUUCAGUGGUGUUAUCACUGUCCCUGCAUAAAUGGUAUUACUGAAAAGAAAAAUGCCUCUGCAUCCAUGGUGUCACUGGAAGAAAUAAAUGCCCCUGUGUUGGUGGUGUCACUGGAGGGAAAAAAUGCUGCUGCAUCCGUGGUAUCACUGGAAGGUAAACAUGCCCCUGUGUUGGUAUCACUGGAAGGUAAACAUGCCCCUGUGUUGGUAUCACUGGAAGGUAAACAUGCCCCUGUGUUGGUAUCACUGGAAGGUAAACAUGCCCCUGUGUUGGUGGUGUCACUGGAAGGUAAACGUGCCCCUGUGUUUUUGGUGUCACUGGAAGGUAAACAUGUCCCUGUGUUGGUAUCACUGGAGGGUAAACAUGCCCCUGUGUUGGUGGUGUCACUGGAAGGUAAACAUGCCCCUGUGUUGGUGGUAUCACUGGAAGGUAAACAUGCCCCUGUGUUGGUGGUGUCACUGGAAGGUAAACAUGCCCCUGUGUUGGUGGUGUCACUGGAAGGUAAACAUGCCCCUGUAUUGGUAUCACUGGAAGGUAAACAUGCCCCUGUGUUGGUGGUGUCACUGGAAGGUAAACGUGCCCCUGUGUUUUUGGUGUCACUGGAAGGUAAACAUGUCCCUGUGUUGGUAUCACUGGAAGGUAAACAUGUCCCUGCGUUUUUGGUGUCACUGGAAGGUAAACAUGUCCCUGUGUUGGUAGGUAUCACUGGAAGGUAAACAUGCCCCUGUGUUGGUGGUAUCACUGGAGGGUAAACAUGCCCCUGUGUUGGUGGUAUCACUGGAAGGUAAACAUGCCCCUGUGUUGGUGGUAUCACUGGAAGGUAAACAUGCCCCUGUGUUGGUGGUAUCACUGGAGGGUAAACAUACCCCUGUGUUGGUGAUAUCACUGGAAGGUAAACGUGUCCCUGUGUUGGUGUCACUAGAAGGUAAACAUGCCCCUGUGUUGGUGUCACUGGAAGGUAAACAUGCCCCUGUGUUGGUGAUAUCACUGGAAGGUAAACGUGCCCCUGUGUUGGUGGUAUCACUGGAAGGUAAACGUGCCCCUGUGUUGGUGGUAUCACUGGAAGGUAAACAUACCCCUGUGUUGGUGAUAUCACUGGAAGGUAAACGUGCCCCUGUGUUGGUGGUAUCACUGGAAGGUAAACAUGCCCCUGUGUUGGUGGUAUCACUGGAAGGUAAACAUGCCCCUGUGUUGGUGGUAUCACUGGAAGGUAAAAAUGCCCGUCAAAUGCCACUGUGUUGGUGGUGUCAGUCUCCGGACUGCUUUGACAUCUGUGCCACUGAAAUGAAACAAGAACUGGGAGGCUGGAGAAGUAGGGGAAGCUCUUUGAGGUGCAUUGAACCAAGGGACACCUAGG